RNAcentral lists this small RNA (63 nucleotides) under Mycolicibacterium fortuitum. RNAcentral describes it as "Mycobacterium fortuitum Mycobacterium sRNA Ms_IGR-8". It matches the Rfam family "Mycobacterium sRNA Ms_IGR-8". The record is from Rfam by way of RNAcentral. Lineage: Bacteria; Bacillati; Actinomycetota; Actinomycetes; Mycobacteriales; Mycobacteriaceae.
CAGGACAAGGACCGCGAGUGUGAAGCUGUUGCGAGCGUGCGGGUCAGAUGUCGCAACAGCUUC